GUGUAUGAUGAUUAAAUAUUUCUUCACUUUGAACUGAUAUCAGCUGAAGAUAUAUUAAGUCUGAAA
This is a small nucleolar RNA of Hyla sarda, 66 nucleotides long. RefSeq annotates it as small nucleolar RNA SNORD37. The record is from RefSeq and is a predicted model, not a curated record. Lineage: Eukaryota; Metazoa; Chordata; Amphibia; Anura; Hylidae. The transcript has a single exon.